RNAcentral lists this ribosomal RNA (501 nucleotides) under Triticum aestivum (bread wheat). RNAcentral's name for it is "partial small subunit ribosomal RNA". The record is from RNAcentral. Lineage: Eukaryota; Viridiplantae; Streptophyta; Magnoliopsida; Poales; Poaceae.
AUGCCUUACAAUGAGCGGUACACACCGUACAUCAAGCAGGCAGGACUACUCCCAUGGAUUCUAUUGGUCAGCCGGUCCAUGCCGAAUCUGAACGCUCCACUGGUGUCCGCUCUUGUUGAUUGGUGGAGGCCGUAGAUGCACAGUUUCCAUCUUCGGACUGGGGAGAUGACCGUGACGCUCAAGGAUGUCUCGUUGAUCACCGGUCUUGCUAUUGACGGGAGGCCUCUUUGUAUGAGCACUGAUUCUGAUGGGUGGCGCGAGCAGAUGAUUGCUCUUAUCAGUAUGGCUCCUACCGAGGUUGAGGCUGAUGUGGAGGAGGGAGAAGAGAAGAAGAAGAGGGAAAGGAAAGCAGCUGGAGCUGCUUUCACGUGGAUUCAAAAUAACUUUGCGACGUGCCCUCUGGAUGCCACUGAUGAUGUGAUCCAGACACAUGCUCGUGUGUAUAUGUGGUACGUUGUGUCGAGGACUUUGUUUCCUGACUCCACUAGUAAGACGCUCUAA